RNA transcript from Ostrea edulis (European flat oyster), 814 nucleotides. RefSeq lists it as uncharacterized. The transcript is spliced from 3 exons. Lineage: Eukaryota; Metazoa; Mollusca; Bivalvia; Ostreida; Ostreidae. The record is from RefSeq and is a predicted model, not a curated record.
AAAAGCAUAGCUGCAAAUUUGGUCAUAUUCAAAUGACAAAAUAUAUAUAGAUAAUUGGUAAUUGGCCUCAUCCCACAACUGACGACGAAAAAUUCAUGGAAAUGUUGACGCAUGCAUGAUUUGAUUUGAAUUCGGAACUAACGCGGUCACGAAAUUGUGAUAAAUAACGGGAACUCAACGGAAAAUUAGGAAAGAAAAUCUUACUUAUUUUUUUUUCAAUGAGAAGUUCAAAGAGUGGGGAAAGGAUGAACAGAAUCUGAAGAUUGGCCUGCCUAACCGACAUCCUGGAUCGAUUACACUGCUCUUUUAUGUGAUACAACGUAUUCUCUUGAUUUCCAUUAUUGCACUGGUCGUAGAAUCAUGCCGCAAUUGCCAAUACAAAGGAAACGACUACGACUUUUUGUCUAGUUUUGUGACCUCCGUUAAUGCGUGCACCAUGAGGAAGUGUUACUGUCGAUGCAGUGGAACGGUGUACUGCCCAACCUCCGAACAGUAUGACGUGUGUACACAGCACUGUGCUAAAUGUACCAACCGUGACACGGGCGCUUUGAUUGAUGCUUACAACACAUUUACAACUACGAGUAAAUAUUGUUUCAAGUUUACUUGGUACUGUAACUGCGACGGAACCUACUCUUAUCAAAGCCACGAGGAAAUUCCAAACUGCCGAAGGACGUCGAAAAGAUUUUCUUUAUUGCCAAAUUACACUCAUGAAUAGUAAUUUAUUUAUUGGAUCUAUUACGGUUUUUUGUUUGUUUUGGCUUUCCUCCCACAAUGAGUUGAUUACAUUGCAUUCCAAUAUUAUAUAUAUAAAUAU